GAGUGUGAGUGCGAUCUGGUUGCCUUAUCUAACAUCUCAUUGAUUGCCAGCGUGAAUUUGGCUGAUCUUGCUGGCUAGGCAAGUGUCCCUUUUCCCCCCGCACUAUUCCAUGUGUGUCCAUCCAAGGCUGUACGCUCACAUUUGCUCAAAGAAGACAACCUGCCCCAGUAGAGAAGGACCAUCCUCAGGCAGGGGCAUACAAGCAGCUGCGCAGUCCUGCUAGAAUCUCCAUACAAGCUGAUAAGACCCACUCAUAGGAGAGCGUAGACCAGUCACAUUUCCAAGACUCCAGACACAUUCAAGUAAGAGGCUGCUUGUGACAGCCUGCCUUGCUUU
Fukomys damarensis (Damara mole-rat) is the source of this 336-nucleotide unclassified non-coding RNA. Its record names the gene 7SK. It matches the Rfam family "7SK RNA". Rfam says of the family: 7SK was discovered as an abundant small nuclear RNA in the mid-70s but a possible function has only recently been suggested. Two independent studies have found that 7SK RNA binds the CDK9/cyclin T complex (known as elongation factor P-TEFb). The record is from Ensembl. NCBI's taxonomy places the organism in Eukaryota, Metazoa, Chordata, Mammalia, Rodentia, Bathyergidae.